This 301-nucleotide ribosomal RNA is filed under the name uncultured bacterium. RNAcentral's name for it is "partial 16S ribosomal RNA". It matches the Rfam family "Bacterial small subunit ribosomal RNA", at positions 509 to 807 of the family's 1533-position model. The record is from RNAcentral.
CAGUCGCCGCGGUAAUACGUAGGUGGCAAGCGUUGUCCGGAAUUAUUGGGCGUAAAGGGCUCGCAGGCGGUUUCUUAAGUCUGAUGUGAAAGCCCCCGGCUCAACCGGGGAGGGUCAUUGGAAACUGGGAAACUUGAGUGCAGAAGAGGAGAGUGGAAUUCCACGUGUAGCGGUGAAAUGCGUAGAGAUGUGGAGGAACACCAGUGGCGAAGGCGAUUCUCUGGUCUGUAACUGACGCUGAGGAGCGAAAGCGUGGGGAGCGAACAGGAUUAGAUACCCCAGUAGUCCCUGUCUCUUAUAC